UGGGUUGCUGCCCCUGAAUUGGUAAUUUUAAGGAAAUUUUGCUGUUUUUGGUUAUUAUCUUGUAUAUUAUUAUAGAUAGAGAUAAACUGUAAACAGCCAUUAUUUUCAGCAAAGUAAGAUUUACAAAUAAGUCAACAUGACCGAAAUGGUCAGUUGACCCCUUUAGGAGUUAUUGCCCUUUAUAGUCAAUUUUUAACCAUUUUUCGUAAAUCUUGGUAAUCUUUUACAAAAAUCUUCUCCUCUGAAACUACUGGGCCAAAUUAAUCCAAACUUAUCCACAAUCAUCUUUGGGGUAUCUAGUUUAAAAAAUGUGUCCAAUGACCCGGCCAUCCAACCAAGAUGGCCGCCAUGGCUAAAAAUAGAACAUAGGGGUAAAAUGCAGUUUUUGGCUUAUAACUCAAAAACCAAAGCGUUUAGAGCAAAUCUGACAUGGGGUUAAAUUGUUUAUUAGGUCAAGAUCUAUCUGCCCCGAAAUUUUCAGAUGAAUCGGAC
Molecule: long non-coding RNA, 492 nt
Filed under: Mytilus galloprovincialis (Mediterranean mussel)
Lineage: Eukaryota; Metazoa; Mollusca; Bivalvia; Mytilida; Mytilidae
Source: RNAcentral